GACGUAGGGCGCGAGCGUUGUCCGGAUUUAUUGGGCGUAAAGAGCUCGUAGGCGGCUUGUCGCGUCGUUCGUGAAAACCUGCAGCUCAACUGCAGGCUUGCGGUCGAUACGGGCAGGCUGGAGUUCGGUAGGGGAGACUGGAAUUCUCGGUGUAGCGGUGAAAUGCGUAGAUAUCGAGAGGAACACCUGCGGCGAAGGCGGGUUGCUGGGCUGACACUGACGCUGAGGCGCGAAAGCUAGGGGAGCGAACGGG
RNAcentral lists this ribosomal RNA (253 nucleotides) under uncultured bacterium. Its description in RNAcentral is "partial 16S ribosomal RNA". It matches the Rfam family "Bacterial small subunit ribosomal RNA", at positions 524 to 776 of the family's 1533-position model. The record is from RNAcentral.